This 72-nucleotide transfer RNA is filed under the name Campylobacter fetus subsp. fetus. It matches the Rfam family "tRNA". Rfam says of the family: Transfer RNA (tRNA) molecules are approximately 80 nucleotides in length. Their secondary structure includes four short double-helical elements and three loops (D, anti-codon, and T loops). Lineage: Bacteria; Pseudomonadati; Campylobacterota; Epsilonproteobacteria; Campylobacterales; Campylobacteraceae. The record is from Rfam by way of RNAcentral.
GGCCCCUUCGUCUAGCGGUUAGGACGCCGGCCUCUCACGUCGGCAACACGAGUUCGAGUCUCGUAGGGGUCA